Molecule: ribosomal RNA, 492 nt
Filed under: uncultured bacterium
Lineage: Bacteria
Description: partial 16S ribosomal RNA
Rfam family: Bacterial small subunit ribosomal RNA
Source: RNAcentral
AGUGAACGCUGGCGGUAGGCCUAACACAUGCAAGUCGAACGGCAGCACAGUAAGAGCUUGCUCUUACGGGUGGCGAGUGGCGGACGGGUGAGGAAUACAUCGGAAUCUACUUUUUCGUGGGGGAUAACGUAGGGAAACUUACGCUAAUACCGCAUACGACCUACGGGUGAAAGCAGGGGAUCUUCGGACCUUGCGCGAUUGAAUGAGCCGAUGUCGGAUUAGCUAGUUGGCGGGGUAAAGGCCCACCAAGGCGACGAUCCGUAGUUGGUCUGAGAGGAUGAUCAGCCACACUGGAACUGAGACACGGUCCAGACUCCUACGGGAGGCAGCAGUGGGGAAUAUUGGACAAUGGGCGCAAGCCUGAUCCAACCAUACCGCGUGGGUGAAGAAGGCCUUCGGGUUGUAAAGCCCUUUUGUUGGGAAAGAAAAGCAGCAGGUUAAUACCCCGCUGUUCUGACGGUACCCAAAGAAUAAGCACCGGCUAACUUCGUG